Molecule: long non-coding RNA, 2832 nt
Organism: Lonchura striata (white-rumped munia)
Lineage: Eukaryota; Metazoa; Chordata; Aves; Passeriformes; Estrildidae
Source: RefSeq, a predicted model, not a curated record
UAUAAUGUAUAUAGUGUAAAGUACUAUAUAGUAUAAUGUAUAUAUAUACUAUAUAGUAUAAUGGCCAGCACUAGCUACCUGGCCGAAUAUACUAUAUACACUUAUAAAGCAUCUAUUUCAUGUUUCAUUUCCAGGAGAAUAAAUGCUUGAUCUAAAUUUCCCUAAAGCAAAAUAAAUAUCUGACUGAAUCAGGGCUAUUUUUAAAUUUUUACUGUUGUUCAUGCCCUCUGUUUUCAGAUCUUUUGUCUCUGAUGAUGUCUAAACUUGAUGACAUGUGCCAGGUACAGGGUAAUACUAGGAAGCUUGGUGCCUAAAAAUAAUUCGGAGUGAGGGGAAGUGUGUGCUCUCCAGAUGGCGAUCAGCGAGGGAGCUCCGCCAGCCCGCGCUCCGUGUGCGCUACCUGCGCUCCCGGCUCCGCCAAGUGAACCAUUGCAGGGGCUGAGAGCAGCCAGCGGGAUGUAGGGCACCGAGCUGCCCUGCUGAGGCUAUUCCCACCCAGCUGGGGCUCCCACACUCGGAAAUGUCACAGCAGGCUGAGGAGGAACAGAACCCAUCUCUCUGCAAAGCUCUCCUUGAGAACCGGGGGCUGAUGGCAGAGUUUAACGCCUGAAUCUGGCCGAAAGUCAUCGAAAGGGCGGAACAUGGAAAGACAGACCUGCAGCAGAGAUGUGUGAUCCCAAUGAGCUCUCCUCAAAUGAUACUUUAAUCGUCUGCAGCACUCUCAAAAAUACUGCUACCACUAAUUUGCCCUUGAAAGAAUGUGGCAAAUUAUAUCAAGGGCUUGUCCUCGUGGCCCUGUGCUUGGACACUGGGAGAUACCCAAAGCUAACCUGCAGUUUGUAACACUGCAGUGAAUCCUGCUGCGCUCUGCUCCCCUGCAAGAGUCACAGCCUGUGCUGAUGGGGCUGUGUUGAUUUUCUGCCUCGAGCAUUUAAGAGACAAAAAAAGCAUAAUCUCCAAGACCUCCAGCUAUACCUAGUAAAAAAAUGAAGUAUGUGCUUAAUAUUAAAUCUGUGAAUCUCACUAAAUUUGCAUGUGUUAAAUGGUGACUUUUUUAUAGGACCAUAGAGCACCUUUAGAAACUGAAAGCUCUCAGCAUAAACACCCAUUAAAAAAAUAGGACUAAUAUGUCCGUAUUUGUUAGAACAGGAAAUGAAGAAAAGUGUUAAUUGGACUGUUUGAAAUUGUUGUUUAACACUACAAGCUUCCAGGACAUACAAACAGGCUACGCUUGAAUCACGUGCACUGUUCCAAGUUGAAAAUACAUACAAAUAUCUGAGAGAUGUAUAUGUAAAUCAGGAUAAUAUUUUACUUUUGGAAUUUUGGGUAGAGGCUGAUUUUGGCUGGUAAUAAGGAGUUCACCACCUGCUUUUCACUUAUAUAACACUGUUUUUCCUCUCAUCAGAUUCUUCUAAUGAGCAGGGAGGAAUGGGUUAUUAAAUUAGCCAAUCAGUGUUUUGAAUAGGUACCUGCCAAAAAAGGGAUUUACACACGAGAAGGUAAGAAAGUUGUAGAGCUAUGGCAGACAGAAGAGGCCACAAAGUGUUGAAUCUUUUGUGCAUUAAGCCAAAUUUAUUUCCUAGACAUCAAAAGAUACUUUCUGACUUUUCUGUGCAAUGUCUGUAAUCUCUUUUAUUUGUACAUUCAUGAAAUGCUGGAGCCCUCUUUGGCUGCUGAUUCCUGCAACUCCCGGGCCACAGGGUCUGGCACAGCCCCACACAGGUUGGGAAUGCCCCAGAGCCAGAAAAUUCAGCCCCAUUUGACAUUUUUAACCAAAGUUUCACAACCUAUCUCCUCUUGCAGGUGACUGAGGAGGAAGGGAGCAAAGCAGGAUCAGAGCCAAUGUGGUGUCUCCUAAUAUCUGUCUAUAAAGGAGAAUUUAAAUGACAUUUCAAAUGAAGAAGAAAAAGAUCCCCCUUGUCUAGUUUGUGCUGAAUACUUUUCCCCAUGGUAUUCCUCAUGUUUAAUUUUUAGUCAUUUGCACUCUGAUAGAGAUCAAAGAUUUCUGUCAAAAUACAGUUUGCACUGAAGUAGGUAUUUUGCAAACAUACAGGGAGAUAUUUUUCUCCCCUGGUGUAUCAAAAUUUAAAACUAGUCUGAAAUGACUUGCAAAAGGAGUGAUUCCAACAGACUUCUAUCUCUUGAUUGCUUGCAUUUUUAAAAGAAUUAUACUGAAGUAGUCUAUUUUCAUUUUCUGUCUCUAUAAAAUGCACCUUAUAACCCUUGACUUGCAGAGACAUUUAGCAGCAACAAACAAACAUAGGAAUGAUAAUUCGAAAACUGUUACAAAAAUAAUCAGUGAGCAGGUUCAAAAGAUUUGAGAUGACAUUACAUGAAAAGGUGCUAUUUUCCUGCUAGAAGGCAUUUUAUGUCAGAGAAAUGUUCAGUAGUCUUUUAUGAUUUUGUCUGAAUAAAGUGAGAAAGUAAGUUCAAGAUUUUUUAGGAAACCAGGCAAAAACUCCAAAACAAAUACAUGUCAAAAUGAAGGGAUUGCUUAAAGCACUCAGGGCUGGAGUCCCCGUGUAUAUCUCUCUAUCAUUUUAUCUGCAUGAAGGGAAGAUCUCUUGCAGGUUGACAAGGAGGAAUUGUAACCUCAGGAGAAGGGAAGCACUCUUCCCCCAACCAAAGAGAAAUAUAAUUUGAUAUAUUAACACUUCAAAUCUCCCUGUUUUCUAAACAGCUUCAGGUGCUUCCUGUGAGUGUUUUUAAUAAGGAAAAAAUAAAUCCAACAGGUAAAUUUUAAGACCAAAUCAACUUUGGUUUUCCAAGCUGAAACGAGGACACAUUUCUGUCAGGGCAGCCAUCUGUAACACCAAUAAAAUAUUUCAGAGA